This 253-nucleotide ribosomal RNA is filed under the name uncultured bacterium. RNAcentral's name for it is "partial 16S ribosomal RNA". It matches the Rfam family "Bacterial small subunit ribosomal RNA", at positions 524 to 776 of the family's 1533-position model. The record is from RNAcentral.
UACAGAGGGGGCAAGCGUUGUUCGGAAUUACUGGGCGUAAAGGGCGCGUAGGCGGCCUGUUAAGUCGAACGUGAAAUCCCCGGGCUCAACCCGGGAACUGCGUCCGAUACUGGCAGGCUUGAAUUCGGGAGAGGGAUGUGGAAUUCCAGGUGUAGCAGUGAAAUGCGUAGAUAUCGUGAGGAACACCAGAGGCGAAGGCGGUUACCUGGACAGUUACUGACGCUCAGGCACGAAAGCAUGGGGAGCAAAAGGG